Long non-coding RNA from Cotesia glomerata, 1101 nucleotides. RefSeq lists it as uncharacterized. The transcript is spliced from 4 exons. The record is from RefSeq and is a predicted model, not a curated record. NCBI's taxonomy places the organism in Eukaryota, Metazoa, Arthropoda, Insecta, Hymenoptera, Braconidae.
AAUUUCUGGUCAGAAAAAUUUUGCAGAAAAUUUAAAAAAAUUAUAUGCAUCGGGUUGAAUCUUUCAAAUUUGCGCGCUAUAUUAUAGUUUCCAAGAGUGUUACGCGAAUAUUUCUGCGCAUGCGUAAAAUAUUAUUUCUAAAGGACAACCAUAAUAAAAAUUAUUACACUUCCGCAGUUAUAUUAACCUAACAAUGCUUAUAUUCUAUUUUUCUUGGUGUUGUUGUUGUUGUUGUUGUUUUCACAAGUUAUUAAUUAUAAUAAAAUAAGUUAUAAAUGACAAUACAUAGAGAAUAAAAGAAGGUAUUGCAUUUAUACCUACACUAACGUCAACGCAAUAAUGUUUAUUUUUGUUUAUGUAACAAUAAGUUGUGGUAUAAUUGAAAAUGUAGGUAAAUGAAAAAUAAAAUAAACAAAAAGAGAUAUAAAUGAAAUUAAAAACCUUAACGUUAGAGUUUAAGAUUGGAGACAGAAUAACAAUGAUUCCUUUGCGGGGAUUUAUUUUACAGAGUUAUAAAUAAAAUAUAGAACCUUAACAUUUGAGUUUUAUAAUAAAGACAGAGUAACAAUGAUUCCUUUGCGGUGAUAUUUUUUUAACAGAUCCGAAUGAAUGAAUCGAAAAAAACAUAACUAUUAUCAUAAAAUAAAAAGAAAUUAACAAUCACAAUUUUCAAGCUUAAACGAAUCCAUGAAAAUUAUUUAAUAGAUAACAGAUGCUUAAAUAAUAAUUAGAAUUUAUAAUUUAAAUUUAUAAAAAUAAUAAAAAAAAAAAUAAAAUAGAUUAUAUUAUAAACGUUGAUCUUGUGAAUAGCAUCGAUUUGUUGUAAAAAAAAAAAAUUCUGACAUUCAUGCACUGAAUGUCUAAAAAAUUGUAGCAAAUUUGAAAGCAUGGAUGCAUGUGUUAUAAACAAUAUCUAGUUAAUUUAAUUUUUUGAUUAUCUGACAAGAUCAAAUAAUUAUUGCAGCUUACAAAAAAUAUUUAUUUUACAACAAAAAAUCAUUAUUUGGCUGUAAAUGUUAAUAAUGCGUUACUAUAAAUCAAUUGAUUGAAUAUUUUUUUUUUUUUCAUAAAUUAUUUACAUAAAUAAAUUGUAUUUACAAU